CAGCCGCCGCGGUAAUACAGAGGGUGCGAGCGUUAAUCGGAUUUACUGGGCGUAAAGCGUGCGUAGGCGGCUUCUUAAGUCGGAUGUGAAAUCCCUGAGCUUAACUUAGGAAUUGCAUUCGAUACUGGGAAGCUAGAGUAUGGGAGAGGAUGGUAGAAUUCCAGGUGUAGCGGUGAAAUGCGUAGAGAUCUGGAGGAAUACCGAUGGCGAAGGCAGCCAUCUGGCCUAAUACUGACGCUGAGGUACGAAAGCAUGGGGAGCAAACAGGAUUAGAGCCCCAGUAGUCCCUGUCUCUUAUACC
This 301-nucleotide ribosomal RNA is filed under the name uncultured bacterium. Its description in RNAcentral is "partial 16S ribosomal RNA". It matches the Rfam family "Bacterial small subunit ribosomal RNA", at positions 509 to 808 of the family's 1533-position model. The record is from RNAcentral.